RNAcentral lists this ribosomal RNA (1491 nucleotides) under metagenome. RNAcentral describes it as "bacterial SSU rRNA". It matches the Rfam family "Bacterial small subunit ribosomal RNA". The record is from RNAcentral.
AGAGUUUGAUCCUGGCUCAGGAUGAACGCUGGCGGCGUGCUUAACACAUGCAAGUCGAACGAAGCACUUUAUUUGAUUUCCUUCGGGACUGAUUAUUUUGUGACUGAGUGGCGGACGGGUGAGUAACGCGUGGGUAACCUGCCUUGUACAGGGGGAUAACAGUUGGAAACGGCUGCUAAUACCGCAUAAGCGCACAGCAUCGCAUGAUGCAGUGUGAAAAACUCCGGUGGUAUAAGUUGGACCCGCGUUGGAUUAGCUAGUUGGUGAGGUAACGGCCCACCAAGGCGACGAUCCAUAGCCGACCUGAGAGGGUGACCGGCCACAUUGGGACUGAGACACGGCCCAAACUCCUACGGGAGGCAGCAGUGGGGAAUAUUGCGCAAUGGGCGAAAGCCUGAUGCAGCGACGCCGCGUGAGCGAAGAAGUAUUUCGGUAUGUAAAGCUCUAUCAGCAGGGAAGAUAAUGACGGUACCUGACUAAGAAGCACCGGCUAAAUACGUGCCAGCAGCCGCGGUAAUACGUAUGGUGCAAGCGUUAUCCGGAUUUACUGGGCGUAAAGGGAACGCAGGCGGUCUUUUAAGUCUGAUGUGAAAGCCUUCGGCUUAACCGAAGUAGUGCAUUGGAAACUGGAAGACUUGAGUGCAGAAGAGGAGAGUGGAACUCCAUGUGUAGCGGUGAAAUGCGUAGAUAUAUGGAAGAACACCAGUGGCGAAAGCGGCUCUCUGGUCUGUAACUGACGCUGAGGUUCGAAAGCGUGGGUAGCAAACAGGAUUAGAUACCCUGGUAGUCCACGCCGUAAACGAUGAGUGCUAAGUGUUGGAGGGUUUCCGCCCUUCAGUGCUGCAGCUAACGCAUUAAGCACUCCGCCUGGGGAGUACGGUCGCAAGACUGAAACUCAAAGGAAUUGACGGGGGCCCGCACAAGCGGUGGAGCAUGUGGUUUAAUUCGAAGCAACGCGAAGAACCUUACCAGGUCUUGACAUCUUCUGACAAUUCCAGAGAUGGAACGUUCCCCUCGGGGACAGAAUGACAGGUGGUGCAUGGUUGUCGUCAGCUCGUGUCGUGAGAUGUUGGGUUAAGUCCCGCAACGAGCGCAACCCUUAUUGUCAGUUGCCAUCAUUAAGUUGGGCACUCUGGCGAGACUGCCGGUGACAAACCGGAGGAAGGUGGGGAUGACGUCAAAUCAUCAUGCCCCUUAUGACCUGGGCUACACACGUGCUACAAUGGACGGUACAACGAGUCGCUAACUCGCGAGGGCAAGCUAAUCUCUUAAAGCCGUUCUCAGUUCGGAUUGCAGGCUGCAACUCGCCUGCAUGAAGUCGGAAUCGCUAGUAAUCGCGAAUCAGCAUGUCGCGGUGAAUACGUUCCCGGGCCUUGUACACACCGCCCGUCACACCAUGAGAGUUUGUAACACCCAAAGUCGGUGGGGUAACCUUUUGGAGCCAGCCGCCUAAGGUGGGACAGAUGAUUGGGGUGAAGUCGUAACAAGGUA